RNAcentral lists this ribosomal RNA (1221 nucleotides) under Opecoelidae sp. 1 DIHM-2019. RNAcentral's name for it is "partial large subunit ribosomal RNA". It matches the Rfam family "Eukaryotic large subunit ribosomal RNA", at positions 157 to 985 of the family's 3401-position model. Lineage: Eukaryota; Metazoa; Platyhelminthes; Trematoda; Plagiorchiida; Opecoelidae. The record is from RNAcentral.
UCGCAGAGGCGCUGCUCCACCCUAAGUCCAACAAUGAGUACGGUGGUACGGACAUGGCCCAGGGAGGGUGAAAGGCCCGUGGGGGUGGAGGUCAAGUUGGACAGUGUCAGCUCUGGGAGGACCUUGGAGUCGGGUUGUUUGUGAAUGCAGCCCAAAGUGGGUGGUAAACUCCAUCCAAGGCUAAAUACUAACACGAGUCCGAUAGCGAACAAGUACCGUGAGGGAAAGUUGAAAAGUACUCUGAAGAGAGAGUAAACAGUGCGUGAAGCCGUUCAGAGGUAAACGGGUGGAGUUGAACUGUGAGUCUUGAGGGUUCAACUGGUGACGAUGAUUGGGUUUGGCCAAAUUGGUUGGUGCGUGGGGUCUGCUUAGCUGCAGGUCUUUGCCCUCGGGUGAGGAUGCGCGAUACGUUCGUUGAGCGUUGUGCGCCCCAAGGCGUUCCGGGCCACGUUGCCAGUGCAUUCCUUCUUGACGGUCACCACGACCGACACUGCUGUCUGUCUUUUGUGGUUAAACCGGUUGCAUAUUGUCCUCCGGGCUUUGUGUGAUCGGGAUGGCAGGUAGCUCGUUGGUUUGCUUGCAUUCCUUCGGGUGUAAUCAGCUGACCAUAAUUUGGCUGUGCGGUGUGUCGGGGACGGCGGCUUGAGGUGUGUGCGUGCGUGCCUGUUCUGCUGGCGUGUUCAUGUCAGGUUGCUCAGUUGCUCACGUAGUGGGCCAAGCGGCGACUGGAAUGCGUGCGGUGGGCGGUUGCGUGCGUGGCACUAUUUUGGGCCAACAGUCUGUGGUGUUGCGGUAGACUUUCCACCCGACCCGUCUUGAAACACGGACCAAGGAGAGUAACAUGUACGCGAGUCAUUGGGCGUAACGAAACCCACAGGCGCAGUGAAAGUAAAGGCUUGGCUUGUCCUUGCUGAGGUGAGAUCCUGUCGUUUCCAGCGCGCGGUACUACCAAGCAUCGAGCGGCAGGCGCAUCACCGGCCCGUCCCAUGGCAUUGACUAUUGAUUUAUGAAUUGAACAGUCGGGGCGGAGCAAGAGCGUACAUGUUGAGACCCGAAAGAUGGUGAACUAUGCUUGUGCAGAUUGAAGCCAGAGGAAACUCUGGUGGAGGAUCGAAGCGAUUCUGACGUGCAAAUCGAUCGUCAGACAUGAGUAUAGGGGCGAAAGACUAAUCGAACCAUCUGGUAGCUGGUUCCCUCCGAAGUUUCCCUCAGGAUAGCUGA